CCGAGUACCGGGUCUUCCAGGCCCUUGCUCCCACCCUUUGUGUACCUUACCACUAUUCAGUUGCCUUGGUGGGCCGGCUUCGGUCGCCCGCCAGGGGGACCACCUUUAAACCCUUGUCAACGGAGUCGUCUGAGAACAAAACAAAUAAGUUA
This 152-nucleotide unclassified non-coding RNA is filed under the name uncultured Dothideomycetes. RNAcentral's name for it is "sequence contains ITS1". The record is from RNAcentral. Lineage: Eukaryota; Fungi; Ascomycota; Dothideomycetes.